UCCUUAGUCUAGCCCACUCAAGGCGUUUGGGAGAAUCCGUGGUUAAUAACAGGGUCACACUCCCGGAACCUCUAACAGCCGCUGGAAGGUGCAAGGUUAUUUUUCUCCACCAUAAAGACAGAAACAACGUGCUCAGUGACAGUGUGACGCCCGACUCAGGGAAUCGCGUCCCGAUUCCUGCAAUGCUCAUGUGUGAAGACAUCCCACUCUCUAGCGUGAGGAAAUUGCUCUUACUGAACUGCCAAGCCAGUCAAAGCCUUCUUGCCUUCCUUUGGGUGAAGGAAGGAAAUCCAGCAGAGGCGGCUGAGCACAGGGAGUGACAGACGGUGAGAGGUCUGAAAAGAGGAAUCCGUUGGACACCACGGAAAGAGAAUCGUGUCAAGGGGGACGAGGCAGUCCACGAUACCAGUGCUGCUGAAGGUGCAAAAUAUGUAUGGAGAAAGACUGGACAGUCCCUCGGGGUGAAAGGCUACGCAGCUCUUGGCUGUGGUCAGAACAGGCCCCAGCAGCUUCCCAAGGAUGUCCUGAGAGGCCUGAAGCAAAGGCUCUGUCAUGGAAGAUCAGGAACCUGAGCUGUAAGCCAACAGCUACAAUAACAACAGCAAACCUCUGCUCCGCAGCCAAGGAGCCACUAGUGAAGGGCAAAGGGGACCUAAACGGAGGGUUACAACAGCAAGGGCUAUCACAGACAGUCCUCGGAGCCCUGGCCAUUUCCUCUGAAGGACCAGAGGUCGGGGACUUUAAAGGCGAAUUUUGACUUUUCAAAGUGAAACUGGGGCCCUGUGUGAACAGUGUGGCAUGGGAAGCUCCUCUCGGUGAUGCAGAUUGGAACGCAUGUUUCUUAAGCACAAAAUCAAAGACCCUUUGGUCCAAGCUGCUUUUUCUGUUGGUUGACUGGUUGGUUCAUUCAGCUAAAGUAAGGGGUGGAGUGCAGGGUGAACCUGGGGGAGAUACCAAUGGGCCUCAGGCCACUACUGCUGUAUAGAAGAAUAAAGGGGGGCCUGGAGAGAUGGCUCAGAGAUUACGAGCACGGACUGCUCUUCCAGAGGUCCUGAGUUCAAUUCCCAGCGCCCACAUGGUGGCUCACACCCAUCUGUAAUGAGAUCUGGCACCCUCUUCUGUAUACAUAAAAAAUAAAUAAAUUUUUAAAAAAAGAGUAAAGGGAUGAAAGAGCAGCCACAAGCAGCUUUGGGGAUCCUGGGAGUCUCCAGUGUGCCCUGUCCAAGCUUCCCAGCAUCACACUUCCUCCAACAAGGCCAUGCCUACUCCACAAAGCCUCACCUAAUAGUACCACUCCCUUUGGGGGCCAUUUUCUUUCAAAGCACCAUAGCACGAGACCAGAAAUGUCCAUCCAGACCCUUACUACUUCCUCUCUAACUGCAAGAACAUACUCUAACAUCUUGCUUCAUUUUUGUGAUUCGGUAGACACUGCCGUUCCUCCAGUUACUUCACAGUCGCAAAAACACUUCACAUUUUGUGUGUUUAUGGUGUAUGUGUGGGUGUACAGUGUGUGUGUAUGUGUGUAUGGGAUGUGUGUAUAAUGUGUGUGUGUGUGUGUGUGUGUGUGUGUGUGUGUGUGUGUGGUGUAUGCACGUGUAUGAGUGUGAAAUAGUAGUAUCAGGGUGUACUUGUGGAAACAGGACAGCCUUGGGUGUUGAUCGUUGCCUUCUUCCUUGUCUGAUAUAAGUUGGUCUCUGCUACCUGGCUCAUGACCUUCCUGGCGUAACAGUCACGUGCUGCCAUGACUGGCUUCACACAGAUUCUGGGGAUCCAUACACCUGGUCCUCAUGUUGGAGGACAGCAUACCCUUCUCUACUGUACCAUCUCCUUGGGUACCCUCACCCACAUUUUUAUAGAUUUAAAAUGUAUGUUAACUCAGGUACUCUACCUCAGCUGUCCUUCACAAAUGCCCUUCAGUGAGGAAAUGAUUUGCGUUUCAUGGAUGAGGAAACACAUUUCAAAAAGGUGGGAUGACCUAUGGAGGCCACCUAGAAUAUAAGUGGAACGGCUGGUAGGCAAACGCGGGCUUUCUUAUUCUUUCUCACCACAUGAAACCCGGUCAAAGCAGGGAGUAAGUACACGGUUGGAUCUUCCACUGACUUAGGUCUCCCUUUCCUGGCCCAUCAUGUCACAAACUUCUGCAGACAGUUCCCCUGCACCUCAGUGAGUAAGAACACAGCUGGCAUCCCACUUUCCACUGCCACCAGCGCGGACGACAGUGUGAGCCCCCCAUCUGGCACCAGCAUGUCAGAUAGGAAAAGCAGUCAGCUGGCAUGGACCAGUCUCCAAGAGGGAAAACUGAGUCAUCUGUUUGUCGCUGGUUUCCAUUCUAAACCCCUCUCCGUCGAUGGAUGGCCAACUGCUCCAGACCUUUGGGUGACUCACUCACGCUGGCAGCUUGUCUGUGGUUUUGAUUUAGUUCCAGCAGACCCAGUUUCCUGCGUCCUCCCGCUUCAGAAACUGUCACAGUGGACUUUGCGAGCAUUCAAAGAGGAAAAGACUGGGAUGGCUUUACCAACUGUUCUCCAUGUGCUUUCAGUCCUGAAGAUGGGAGCUCUGAACUGGGGCCUACACGAAAAUGUGUCCCACACUAUCUUUACUUAUUUGAUUUUUGCUUUGUCAUUUUUUUCUUUAAAGACAUUGUCAAGUAGCCCAGGCUGGCCUCAAAUUCACAAACAAAGAGCAAAAAAAUAUGUAAAUUAGUAUGAGGUUCAACUUGCAAAAAGGUAAUAUGUCUAUUUUUCUUAAAUGAAGGACAAACAGGGUGUGGUGGUGCAUGCCUUUAAUCCCAGCACUAGGGAGGCAGAGGCAGGAGGAUUUUUGAGUUUGAGGCCAGCCUGGUCUACAAAGCAAGUUCCAGGACAGUCAGGGCUACAUAGAGAAAUCCUGUCUAGAAAAAGCAAUAGAUAAAUAAUAAUAAAACAAACACAGGAGGCUGAGUCCCAUAGAGCCACAGUUUGGUCAUUGUGCAAACAUCACGAAGUACACUUACACAACCCAAAAUGGCUCUGAUGUCACUAGUGACAUCAUCAUAGAGAUCCAUCAUUUUUGACCACUGAUCCAAACAUUACACAAUGCAUGACUGUGUACAUGUGUAUAAUACUUUAAAGCAAUAAACAACUGUAACAUUUACUGUUUGUCAAAGAAUGGCUUACUUCUAUGAAAUUCUUUGAUGAAAUCUUGAAUAAGUGUUUCCAUCAGAUAAAUGUACCAAUGUGAUCUUGCUGAGGGAAAGACUGACUAAUGGCUUCAAGAGGCAGACAUCGGUGAGUUAACUCAGAAAAGUUACACCACCUCAGGCCAACCGAAUGCAGAUGUGCCCUGAACCCCAAGAUCUCAGACACCUCACUUGGUCUGUUUUUCAGCUGCACUCAGUCCACAGUGAGAAGACAGUGUGUUACAUGACUUGGGUGCUCACCACAGCUGCCUAGCUAAGAAACUGUAACAUCUGCUAGGUCAGACUAAGGUUGAAGAGUUGUGACCUACGGGGAACACUGCCAUUUCCCAUGGGUAGCUGCCCCGGGAUUUACUCUCUUCUUUCUCCACUGGUCUGGUCCUGUGGGCUGUGCUCUCUCACAUUCACAACAGGUCACGAAAAUCUUUUCUAUUGCAGUUCCUCAUCAUUUACUAAAUAAAUCAAAUCCUAAAUAAAUCUGUCAACACUGCCUACAGGUGUGUCCAUAUUCUCCUGAAAUUAUAUGUUCCAAUGUUAUAAUUAUACUCCAAAUGCAAUUUUGACUAAGGGUGACUUCAACAUCAUUCCAAUGGAGUCUGCUAGACACUGGAGAAAACUUGAAUAGAAUUAAAUGCAUUAUUAAUAAUGUUUUAUCAGAUAAUAUCUUAGUCCAAAUAAGAUAAGGCUGUGGUUCAGUGGUAGAGCACUAACCUGUAAUAUAUGAGGCCCUGGAUCCAAUGCCCAGCAUUGCAAAUAAUAAGUAAAUAAAAAUCAGAUAAAAACAAUCUCCCUUUAACGUAAAACGUAGUUUAAAACAGUGUGGUGGAGAUGUGCCGGCUUGGUGGUACACACCUUUAAUUUCAGUACUUGAGAGGCAGAGGCAGAAGGAUCUGUUGUGGAAUAUUAGUUGAAGAUGUGCCACAUUCAUUUAUGCUGUGGAAUAUUUAAUGAUACAAAGAUGUGCUGCAUUCAUUUACGCUGUGGAAUAUUUAAUGAUACAAAGAUGUGCUGCAUUCUUUUAUGUUGCAUUUGUUUAACUCUGUGAAGCUGUGUUACUUUGCCUGUCUAAAACAUCUGACUGGUCUAAUAAAGAGCUGAACAGCCAAUAGCUAGGCAGGGGAGAGAAAAAGGCGGGGCUGCCAGGCAGAGAGAAUAAAUAGAAGAACAAGAAGAGGAGGAGUGAGAAAAGGAGGAGAGGAAGAUGCCAGGGGCCAGUUACUCAGCCACACAGCCAGCCAUGAAAUCAGAAGGAAAGAAAGAUAUAUAGAAUAAAGAAAGGUAAAAAGUCCAGAGGCAAAACAUAGAAGAGAUGGGAUAAUUUAAGUUAGAAAAACUGGCUAGAAAUAAGCCACACUAAGGCCAGAUAUUCAUAAGUAAGAUUAGGUCUCUGUGUAUUUAUUUGGGAGCUGGGUGGUGGGCCUCCAAAGAGAAAAAAAAACCAACAACAAACAAAAACAAAACAAUAAAACCCAAUUAUAUGGAUCUCUCAGUCUGAGGCUAGUCUGGUUUACAGAGCUAGUUCCAGGACAGUCAGAGCUACACAGAAAAACUCUGUCUGGAAAACAAAAAAUCAAACAAAAACAAACAUUAUGAAAUCAUCGAGGAAAGAAGGGACAUAUUCAGUGGGUAACCAAAAUUUGCAGCUAAUACAACCCCCACAACCACUUUAUGGCAUAAAGUGUGGUUGCCACAUGAAGUCUGACAGGAUUCCAAGCAGUUCAGGAUUUUCUCCGGAUUGAGCUUUACUUUGGGGAGCAAAUUAGCAUCAUCUGCUAAAUAUUUAGCUCAAGCCACUUGUGUACCUGAAACCCCAGCAUCUGGGAGAUCCAGGCUGCCUGGUAAAAGCAUCUCUUUUUAAACAAUUAGACUCACAGUUGCGUUCCUUGAACAGUCAUAGUUUUAAAAGAGGGGCCAAAGUGUCUGUGGAUGAUCAUGUUUUCUCACAAAGCCUGAAGCUCCUGAUCAGGUUGGGCUAGCUGGUCAUCGAGCUCCAGGAAUUCACCUGUCCUGGCCUCGCUGGCACUGGGAUUCCAGGUGCAUAGCUUCACCUGGCUUUUGAUGUGGGCGGUAGGCACCAAACUCAGGUCUUUAUGCUUGUGUGGUGAGCACUGGACUGAAUGUGCUAGCUUCCCAGGCCUCAAACUCUUUUUACAAUUUGUGUGUAUUAAAGUAACUGUAUUUUUCUCCCUUUAAGAUAAUGUGGUCAAUCACAUGGAACAAUUUUUCCAACUCUAUGGUAAAUUGAACUAAGCCAGUGAGAAUUCAAAUGAGCCCUUAUAUCACGGGAUAGCCACAAACCAUACUAUCCUUUUUCUACCUUGAUAGUUUCUUUUCGAACAGGCAGUGUCUUUAUGAACUCACUCUGUAGACCAGGCUGGCCUCAAACUCUCAAAGAUACGCCUGCCUCUGCCUGGGAUUAAAGGCAUGUACUAUCACCACCAGGCAGGUAAUUUUAUCUUUAAAGUUUUAAAAAUAGACUCAAUUUUUACAAGUAGAUGGGGACUCUGCAGAUUUCCAGUUUUAAAAUGACUCGUGUUGUGUUCAGGUGCAGUCCAGAGCAGGACAGAGAUGAAGUCCUCUACAGCUUUCUACCUUACUCCAUUGAGACAGAGUUUCUCACAGAACUGGAUGUUUGGCUUUGGGCUAGGCUGGCCAGCCAAUGAACUCUCGAGGUGUGCCUGGACUGAACGUGCUAGCUUCCCAGGCCUCAAACUCUUUUUACAAUUUGUGUGUAUUAAAGUAACUGUAUUUUUCUCCCUUUAAGAUAAUGUGUUCAAUUACAUGGAACAAUUUUCUAAUUCCAGUGCUGGGGUUGGUUCCAAGCAAGUGCAGUCAUGCCUGGGUUUGUACAUAGAUACCGGGGAUCCGAACUCAGGUCUUCAGGCUUGCAGAACAAGAGCUCUUAUCCACCAAGCCAUCUCCCUAGUUCAUUUUCACUAAUUUUGUCUGGAUUUUUUUUGGUCCUUAAUUUUGUUCUUGUUCAAAUACUCAAACUGAGGUUGCUCACGGCAUAUUUCAAAUGUUUAAUUCUCUAGGAAAAGUUAGUUUUUCAAUUCGAUACUAUUUUUCCUUUUAAAAAUUAAUUUUACUAAUUUAUCAAUUUUCCUAAGCUUUUUAAAACUUAGCUUUAUCGUUUUAAAGUUGGUGUUCUAUUAACGAAUUUCUACUCUUUUAUUUCCUUUUCUAUUGUUCUCUUCUGCCAUACUGGGCGUCUUCGGUGCACAUAUGUGAGGUGAGCACUCCACCACCAUUGAGCAGUCUCCGUUCCCUGACCCUUUCUAGUCUUUUGGCAUCUAGAGAUCAAAACUCCUAAUGUAGAAUAAUUAUUCUGAUGCAGCUGCAGUCCCCAACUUUCGGCAUGACUCAGUUUAGUAUUUGGUUUAAAAUACUGUUUAUUUCCUCUUUGAGCCAUGACUUAGAGGUGUGUUAAUUUCUAAGCAGUUCAGGCAAAUCUGAGGAUUCUACUCAUCUUUUGUUACUAACUUCCAGCACAUUUUCUGAGGUUGGAGAGCGUAUUCUGAAUUAUUUAAAUCCUCUGACAUGUUCGGAGGCUUUCUUUAUGGCCCGUUUUCAGUCUUGUUGACUUUUUGAUACAAGCGUCAAUGGGACAGGAAUGUACCAUCUGGCCAGUGUCACCUGCAUCUCAGGGGACUUGCUGGUGCUGUUACUACUUCUGGUCUCCCGAGCUGUGCUGCAGUGACCCUGGGACUUUGGGUUGACUCAGUUUUCCUCCGUCUUCUUUGUCAUGUGUAUUUAGAAACAGUGUUGUUUAGAUGGAUGGAACUUUGAUGAUGUGACUUUUCAGUUGUAAAUCUUCUCUUGAGUUGUGUUUUAUUUGAAGUUUGUUUCUUACGACAUAGUAGAGUCACAUCGGUGUUUCAGUUGUUGUCACCCACAUCUUUCUGUCCUUCUGUUUCCUGGGCAGCUUUAUUUGGAAAGUCUCUUGUAAACAGGAAGUAUGUUAGGUCUUUACCCCUCUCUAGUCCAACAAUCUUAGUUUACUGAAGUAUUUACCUAACUUGGAUUCAAUUACUCAUCUGAGUGGGGUUUUCUCUACCAUCGAACUAUUUCUUUCCUCUUCGAUCUUGCCUUCUUUUGGAUUACCCAAGUAACCCCACCUCAGUUAAAGUCCUCAAGUACUUAAUUUUCCCUACUUAACUUUUAAAAUAGUAUAAGCUUUGAUUAAAUUUAAUACAAACCAUUACUUUCAAUACUCCUUGAUGUUGACAGAACAUUUUCAUAUUUAACUCCAUCGUGGCUGUCAUGUGUUCGAAGUCAACAUCAAACUCCAAUGCUCACUUGUUUAUUUAUAGACGUCUCCAUUCUUUCGUGCUUUGCUGUAUUUCUGCCUAGGAUUUUUUUUCCUUAAGCCAUUCAUUUUAAUCUUUGCUGUCACUUCUUUUUUCCAAAUAGAGUUCUUACCACAUUGCCUGGCACUGGCCUUGAACUCUUCUGCUCAAGAGGUCCUCCUGGCUCAGGCGCAUGACUAUCUGGGAUUACCAGCAAGUGCCACUCAUCUGCCAUCAUCUGUGACACUUGAGAACUACUACACUCCAGGCUUCCAAGUCAAGUCUUAUUUUCUCUAACCUGCCCAAUUUUACAUUUACGAUGGGUCGCUAAUCCCUGCUGUGUUCCUAAAAAUAAACUAGAAUUUCCAUCAUUAAUCCUAAAGAUAGUUUGUCUCUUGGACUGCAGACCCUUUCCCUGAUUAUGAGCAAAAGCCAAACAUCCCCUUCACAUCUUGUUCUAUGCUUAAAUCUCUAAAAGCUGUGCUAGCCUUGCUUCUCCAGCUGUUCUUGGGGAGAGAAUGGAGGAGUUGGCUUGUUAACCCAUCAUCUGGUAUGUUCUCUGGCCAAGUGUAACCUGCACAACUCACCAUAACCCAGGAAAACUUAAGCAUUUUAGGUGAAAACUUGAAGUAAAUUUUUAUAUGCACACACUGAAAGUGACCUCAGAGUUGGGAUAUGCUUUUAUUUCAGUAUCCUAGCAACCAGAAAGAAAAAUCUCUAAGAAUGAUUGGUAGCUGCCUUUGCUUUAAAAAGAUCAAGUUUUAGGAAUGAGGUAGUUUAUAACAAAGACAUCUGAGUUCACCUUUUGCUAAUUAUAUACUUAACAUCAGUGUUGUCUAUUUGCUUGUGUGAAAAGGCAGUUAAGCCCGUCUCAAAACUAUUAAAUAAGCCGGGCAGUGGUGGCACACGCCUUUAAUCCCAGCACUCAGGAGGCAGAGCCAGGAGGAUCUUUGUGAGGUCAAGGCCAGUCUGGUCUACAGAGUGAGAUCCAGGACAGGCACCAAAACUACACAGAGAAACCCUGUCUUGAAAAACCAAAACCAAACCAAACAAACAAACAAACUACAAAGUGGACUUUUUUUAAAGAGUGCAAUAGAAAUGAGGACUUACCAGAGAGCAACUAUAACAGGCUGUAUGCCAGAGGUUCUCAACCUGUGGGUCACUACCCCUUCAGAACCCCCCCCCCCAAAUUUGCAAUUCAUAACAGUAGCAAAAUUAUUUAUGAAGUAGCAAUGAAAAUAAUUUUAUGGUUUGUGGUCACCACAACACGAGGAACUGUAUUAAAGGGUUGUGACAUGAGGAAGGUUGAGAAUCACUGUGUGCCUACAACCAUGAGUAAGCCCUUACUGUUCAGUUAGGUCCAGCCUGCUUGCUCUCUACAGCUCAGAGCCACAUUCACUUACCAACCAGCACUGCCUAGACAGCAGGCGGCUUCAAGUCUAGUGAGGCUGUUAUGGUUUGGACCUACAGUGUCUCCUGAAGGCGGCGUGUUGAAGGCUUGCUCUCAGUGCAGCCUUGUCCAGAGGUGCCUGGAUCACGGCGGCUUUCAUCCACGGACAGGUCUAUAGCUAAAUGGACUACUACAAAGUGAUGGAAAACAGGAGGAGGGGCCUGGUUGGAGGUAGUGGGUCACACGAGGUGCACCAUUGAAAGGCUAGUCCAUUGUCCUCCCCCUGACGGCCACGAGGCCAGCAGCCGCCUCUGCUACCUACUCCCCUGUUGUGAAAAUGUCUCAGCUCAGACCCAACACAAUGGAGCCAGGCAACCACCAACUGAAACCCGUGAGGCCAUGAGCUCAAACCAACCUUGCCGCCUUCGUCUGUCUCAGGCAUUUUGUCACUAUAAAAAAGGCACCAUCUACCCUUCUUUUUCACCAAGGAAGACUUAAAGCACCCUGUAACAAGUGCACAGGAACACAGCCAGAAAGCCGAGGCGGGUUUUCGUUGAGGUACUGCUACUGCUCAUAAGCUAUUUAUGUGAAAAGCCUAAGACAAACCCUAAAAGAAAAUCUCUAACUUGGAAACAUGCCUAAUUAAAUCUUCUACACUAAUUUUUUGAAAUGUUAAUUUUAUACUGGCAAAGUAAUUACACGGGUUGUAGACGAUUCAAACCACAUACGGCUUUCACAUAAAAGCUUUCUGCAGUCAAUAUUCAGUAACUGCUCAUUUUAAAAAGAUUGCAAGCUGCUUUCUUCCCUUCCCUCUGGGCCUACAAUUCUGAGUUCUGAGGGUUGACAUUAGGGGGUCACAGACUCAGUGUGGUCUGGGAAGAUGUGGUAGAAAUCAGAUCUUUGAGUUUGGUUUUGAGAUAGGGUCUCACUGUACAGCCCUGGCUGGCCUGGAACUCUCUUUGUAGACCAGGCUGGCCUCGAACUCAGAGAGCUCCACCUGUCUCUGCCUCCCAAAAGAUCAGAGUUCUGAAUGGCUUGGGAUAAGUGUAGUCAGAGCCAGUGCGGCUGCGACUGAGGACCCAUCUAGCAGAGAUGAGAUGCCUAGUGGGGAGGGAUUGUCAAGUAUGGAAAGGAUGAACUACAUUAAGUGCUCAGAACUUCAAUUUUAUCUAAAGGAGCAUGAGCUUCUUGGAAAAUGCCCAAUUCUUGAUCUGAGAUAUGGAAAAGGCCAGGUGACUUUCCAACAAUUAACAUACCCACUUAAAUCAAGUCAGGAGGCAGUAUCAAAGGCACACACGUCACCUUGAGAAGACUUCCACAAAUCAAUUCUGGGGACUUGCAGUACUAAAAUAAAGGACAACACAUGGUAAUGUAUUCUGUGAAGGAGGAAUCUAGGAGUCUCUACUGACGGAUAUGGACAAAGGGAUAGUUCUUCCUUACAGCAAAGUCCUAAAGUCAUCAACUUGCCAUCUGGUGACUGACUUAGACGAGGAUUGCCAAUGGACUCAAAACUAGCUGUUGGUAAUCAGUGAAACACAGUUUUUAGGAAUCUCCUCCCAAACUGCUUACACUUUAACACUUCCACCUUUUACUGUGUGUGACGUGUGCUUGUGUACAGACACGUGCAUGUCAUGGUGUAUGGUGAGGGUCAGAGGACAGCUGUGUGGAAUGCUUCUCUCCUUCCACUUUUACGUGGGUUCCAGGAUUGAACACAGAUCAUCAGAUGUGUACUGCAAGAGUCUUCACUUACUGAACCCCAAAGUACUUCUUAAUUACUAGUUUUACAAAGGAAAAGCUCCCUGGAUUUUAUCCUAAUCAAAUGACCAAAGACAAUAGAUCCAGGACAAAUAGAUAUUACUGAUCUCCUGGUAUAGCAAAAAUACAGAACCAUUCCUGUAAUAUUUUUGACAAAAUGUGUGUCCUGACUCCACCUGUGAACAAACAGCACAUGAACCCAAACUGAUACUUAAAUAAUUUGGUCUGUGCCCCUUAAGUAUCAAGGUCAUGAGGUCAAAUACCAAAGAACUAUUCUAGAUUGGAGACCAAAGAAAGAGGACAACUAAAUGCAUCCUGUGACCUAGGACUGGGCUAAAGGCACAGACAGGAACAUUAAUGGGGGCAACCAGUGAAAUUUGAUCUAUAGAGUAGAUGUCACUAUUAUGACAAUUUAAACCUCCUGAAUUUAAUGGGUGUACUAUGGUCAUCUACAAGUAGAGGUUUCCAAUUCAUAUAAUAGAGAACUCUGUAAAUGUCUUGGUAUGAGCUAAAAUUUUCUCCUCUGGACAUCUUUCAUUAGAUUUUAGAGUCUUCAACUUUUAUUCUAUUGAAGAAAUGAAGUCCUAAAAACUUUCAUUUCUGUUAGUUGCUGCUUUACGGGAAUUCAACUGACUUUUGUAUACUGAUUGUGAAUGUAAGAACUUUGCCAGACUGUGGAUCUUAACUGACUCAUCUACACAUCCAAUAACAUCAAUGCACAAAAAUUAUCUCCUAUUAUUAGGAAAGGGAAAAAACAGAAUUACAUGAAGCAUAACUUACUUAAAAAAUACAUGGCAGUUUGAAUUUGAAGGGAUGUGUAGUUAUAGAAAUGCUACAACACAGUGAUGGCUGCGGAUAGUGUUGUCACGGUCCAUCUAAAGUCCAAAGGGAGUGAGGUGCAAGUCCAUCUGCUUGUGAGCUCACUAGGCCAGUCCCCACCGGGACCAUAGUAUCUCCACAGCAAAAGAAUUAGCUUGCCUAGGCUAUAUCAAAGUCAUUUAAAAUAACCACAAGUUCUGCUAAGCCCAUUUAGGAAGUAUGAUCAAUUUUCCUAACUGCUGGCCAGAAAUUUCCAUAAAGCUUUCUGGUGGUCUGAAAGCUCUUUUCCUGGACUCCUAGCUCCUACCCUUUCCCCUUGCUCACAUCGAUUUCCUUCGUCAUAAAGUAACUCCCCAGUGGGUGGCUGCCUCUGUAUUGGGUGGCAGGCACAGUACAAACUGUGGGCACCCCUUCUUCUCAGAAGCCUGCUUACUGCUCCCAGGAAAACAGAAUGGGCUGGACAAGCCCUAAAGGUAGCCCCAAAGGGGAAUUAUCACUUAUGAAGUGGGCAGAGAGGCAGCUUUAUGUCACGAUAUAUUCAUUAGUGACUGGGCUGUCUCCACAUAAUCCAACUGGAGUUAACAGUACAUUUUACAAGUCUUAGUGUGGGAUGGUGAAGAAGUUGUGGAGAUGCCUAGCUAUGCACACCUGCAUAACAAUGUGAACAGGCUUACUUACUGCUCCUGAACCACACAUAACAAUGAUUCACACGGUGAUCUUUAGGUGUUUUCACAGUAAGAAUUUUUAGAGGGGUAUUUGUUGUUACUGCUCUCUGAUAAUACCGAGUGCUCUCACAGUUGCUGAGAGCGCCAAACAUCAAAAUAGGACAGCGCUUUUGUUGUAGGUUUGACUCUGCUGUGACGUCUGUGGGACUUGGAAGUGCGUCACCUAAGUCUCUAUUGCCAUCAGUGGCAGGGGAGUAACAGCAUGCUCACCUGCCCACUACAGGUUGCUAUGAAAAUUCAUAUAGAAACUUGUAAAGGUUGCAGCAUAUAGAAGGGGCUCAAUAAAUGUUGGCUGAUUUCAUUUUCAUUUUAGGUUUUCACAGCAAUAGGGUGUGCAAUAAGGAAUGAAAACAAAGUUUCAUCAUGAAAAUGCUGGUUACUCAUUCCUCCCUGGUUCAGAAUGGCACAGACUCCAACACACCUUGUCACAAAACACUCCAUGUUGUAGUUAUGGGAUGCAGGACCCAAGUGCUGACCCCUAAGUCAAUGGUUAAUAACAUCAAAGAUCACCAGACAAGCCAUGAGAACCUGAAAUACUUUAACAAGUGGAUAUGUACAUGUAUUUAUCAAAUACACAAGGUCAUACAAAAGCGUAAUAUAAUUCACACAUACAAAAGGAUACUAUGUUUGUUGUCCCUUUUACAUCCUAUUUUAGACAAAACAAUGACAGAGAGAGUAUCAGGAAUGCACAAGUUCUGAAAACUAGGUUGUUUUUUCUUAAACAGAUCUGAUCAUCUACACCUCUCAAAUUUCUAAACUCUUGGGAUCAACUUAAAUAAAUCUUCACUCAUUUGAAUAACUAUACAUUUUCAAUGGUUGAAAGUUAGGUAGAAAAAGUAUAUAAAAUGAUUCAUAAGUCAAAACAUUUCUUAUAAAAGGAACAGUUUAAACAAAAUCCGGGUAAUAAAAAGAGGAAAUGUACUGAAUUUUAAAACUUCUGAAAAUAGCGUCUUUUCUGGACCACUAUAUAAAAUAUUUAAAAGUUCAGAACUGUUGAAAAACAAAAGUUUAUAUAGAUAAAACAAAACAAGCCCCUCAAGCCCCUACAAAUGUAUUAAAAACAUCUAAAGCCAAAUAAAAGGUAACGGAACUACACAGUUCAGGUUUAAGUGCAUUUUUUGGGUAUAAUUAAACCACCACAUGUAAAAAUUGGCAAUUAAAAUAUAAUUAAAUACAGAUUGGCAAACCCUUUGGCCAUUAUGUAAAUAUUAAAAAGUGAAUUUCCAAUGGAAAAAUAAAAGCUCACAUACAUACAACUACAGAAGCAAA
Molecule: long non-coding RNA, 13422 nt
Organism: Peromyscus californicus insignis
Lineage: Eukaryota; Metazoa; Chordata; Mammalia; Rodentia; Cricetidae
Exons: 3
Source: RefSeq, a predicted model, not a curated record